AAUAGAUACCCUGGUAGUCCACGCCGUAAACGAUGGAUGCUAGCUGUUAGGAGUAUCGACCCUCCUAGUAGCGUAGCUAACGCGUUAAGCAUCCCGCCUGUGGAGUACGGUCGCAAGACUAAAACAUAAAGGAAUUGACGGGGACCCGCACAAGCGGUGGAGCGUGUUGUUUAAUUCGAUGGUAAGCGAAGAACCUUACCCAGGCUUGACAUCCUGUUAAUCACUCCGAAAGGAGAGAGUGCCUUCGGGCCGCAGUGACAGGUGAUGCAUGGCCGUCGUCAGCUCGUGUCGUGAGAUGUUUGGUUAAGUCCAUCAACGAGCGCAACCCUUAUAGUUAGUUGUAUUUCUCUAGCUAGACUGCCCUGGUAACAGGGAGGAAGGAGGGGAUGAUGUCAGGUCAGUAUCUCCCUUACGUCUGGGGCUACAAACACGCUACAAUGGCCGGUACAAAGGGCAGCCAACCCGCGAGGGGAGCAAAUCCCAUCAAAGCCGGUCUCAGUUCGGAUUGCAGGCUGAAACUCG
Molecule: ribosomal RNA, 522 nt
Filed under: uncultured bacterium
Lineage: Bacteria
Description: bacterial SSU rRNA
Rfam family: Bacterial small subunit ribosomal RNA
Source: RNAcentral